UACGGGAGGCAGCAGGUGGGGAAUAUUGCACAAUGGGCGCAAGCCUGAUGCAGCCAUGCCGCGUGUAUGAAAAAGGCCUUCGGGUUGUAAAGUACUUUCAGUCGUGAGGAAGGUGUUAAGGUUAAUAACCUUAGCAAUUGACGUUAGCGACAGAAGAAGCACCGGCUAACUCCGUGCCAGCAGCCGCGGUAAUACGGAGGGUGCGAGCGUUAAUCGGAAUUACUGGGCGUAAAGGGCACGCAGGCGGUUAAUUAAGUUGGAUGUGAAAUCCCCGGGCUUAACCUGGGAAUGGCAUUCAAGACUGGUUAGCUAGAGUCUUGUAGAGGGGGUAGGAAUUCCAUGUGUAGCGGUGAAAUGCGUAGAGAUGUGGAGGAAUACCGGUGGCGAAGGCGGCCCCUGGACAAAGACUGACGCUCAUGUGCGAAAGCGUGGGGAGCAAACAGGGAUUAGAUACC
This 455-nucleotide ribosomal RNA is filed under the name uncultured bacterium. RNAcentral's name for it is "bacterial SSU rRNA". It matches the Rfam family "Bacterial small subunit ribosomal RNA", at positions 340 to 786 of the family's 1533-position model. The record is from RNAcentral.